AUGGCAGUGCCCAGCUUCUCCUGUGAUCUGAGCAGAAAAGCUGUGACUGAAUUGUUCCUGUCCUGCAGGAACAGCCCUGGGAAAAACCAGGGCAGCAGUUGGUGUGGGGAGGGAAAGGGGCAGCCCUGCCCUCCCUGGCAGCUGUGACUGCUGCAGCCUCAGGUGUUUCUCUAAGUAGUGGAAGGUUUAACAAGACCUGUGCUUAGCACAGUUUGUGUCCUGGAAGGGUCCUGGUGCCCAUUUUGAACAUUCUUUGUGCUUUCUUAAGUAACACUGUUCUCUCUGCCCUUCCCUGUGUUCUCCCCCUGUUCCAGAAAUCGCCGCACGGGGUGGUUGUGGCCAACCCACGGAUAUUCCCAGGGGACAGGAUUUUAGAGACUGGAGAGAUCAUGCCACCUCUGAAAGAUGAGCACCACAGGCACCACUGAUGGCCAGGAGCUGGUUUCCUCUGUGGGGGAACAUGGCCAGAGCUGCACCUGCUGUGUCUGUUCCAUAAAAGAGUGUUCAUCGUG
Molecule: non-coding RNA, 512 nt
Organism: Zonotrichia albicollis (white-throated sparrow)
Lineage: Eukaryota; Metazoa; Chordata; Aves; Passeriformes; Passerellidae
Source: RefSeq, a predicted model, not a curated record